Molecule: long non-coding RNA, 7276 nt
Organism: Orcinus orca (killer whale)
Lineage: Eukaryota; Metazoa; Chordata; Mammalia; Artiodactyla; Delphinidae
Exons: 2
Source: RefSeq, a predicted model, not a curated record
AAAAAAGAAUCAUCAUGCCUAUGUCCCAGGGUUGUUGAGAAGCGUUUUUCCAGCACCUGGGACCAAGCAGGGACGCUGGCACAUGGUAAUUCUGAGUGGAUGCCAGGGGAUGUUCCGUCCAACAGCCUGGUGAUUGUAAUUUACCACAGUCUCAGAUUAAGAAUAUGUAAAUAAUCCCUACAUUCCCCUUUAGUAACUCAUCACAAAUAUUCCAUUCAGGAGUCAAAUUUUUACUUGUGAAUAUGAAGCAGAACACUGAUUUUACAGUGUCUGUCCGUAUUCAUCCAAGCCUCUCUCCUCUUUCUCAACAUUUCCUUUUUUUUCUUUUUCAAGUAAAAGGAAUUUAAUCACAUCUUCAUUUGUAAUUAAAAAACUGGAAACAGGUUACACAUCUGAUAGAAGCAGGUCAUUUAUAUUGUACAAUAUGCAACUUAUUUGAACAAUAAUAUGGGACUAUAUGACAUGGUAUUGUGAUAUGUAUAUGUAUGGAGAUCCUGGCCUAAUAUACCUGAUUUAUCAGUUUGAACUGUAAAGCUCAUUUUAAUCCAAUCAAUGUUUAUUGAGUGCCUGCCAUGCGGCAGGCAGUGUUCUAGCCCACAUGAUGUUUACUGUCCAGUUGGGGUGGUGGGUACUAAAAAGUAAUUGCAAGUCAAAUAAAUGUUACCAAAAGGGAAGUUCAUGGAAUCACAUAGCAGAAGAAUUUAGACUAUAUAGCGGUAUGGUAAAUGCCUCCUUGAGAAAAUUAUGCUUAAGCUGAAACAUGAGAAAUUAGAAGGAAUAUGCCCAAGGUGAAAUGUGAUCAGGAGAAGAGUGGUAGAGGGGAAAAAGGGAGAGGCAGUUUCAGAACUGCGAGUGACAGGCGGCACGGUUGGGGCAUAGAGGGCAGAGGGAAGGAUAUUAGUGCUUCGGCUCAAAAAAGUUCUUAGAUUUUUAGGAUAUUAUUUCUUUGCUAGGUAAGUUGGCUGGAAAAUCAGAUAAUGCAGCAUAUUUAGGUCUAAAACCAGGGGGAAAGUCUAGCCAUUAUUUAAAGUAGCAUUCUAUCAUAAUGCCCCAAAUUCACUUGAAAUGACUGAUAGUUCUAGAGUAAAAAUAUUUUCACUCCUACACCCUAUGCCUAUUUCUAGACAUUAUCUGUAGUUUCAUAACUGUGUCCAGAUGGGGGUUCUCUUAAGGUCGUAAAGACUGUAUGCUCUUGUAACUAUGUCACUAUCUUCCCAACAUGUUAUGGUGUUUACAAGCGUAACUGAAUUCAGAACUUUAUACCACUUCCAUUGGAACUCAGUACAUUUCACAUGUUCUUUUGAUCAGAAUCUGAUCAUUUAUUUCACUUCUGGGUUGGCAGUCUCCAACAACACAUUUCUUGUGUUACAUCUGUGUGGGCUGGAAAUUUACAACUUAAAAUGCAUUCUUGCAUUAAACUACUAUCAUGAACGGUGGCUUCAACGAGGAUAUGCAUCCUGUAGUAUUGCUGAAUUAAUUUAUUCUGCAUUUGACUUUUGAUUUGGCCCACUUGUGGUUACCUUACAAAGCAUCCAUCCCCUUCUUUUUGUUUCUGUUAUUUCUAUCCUUUUUUCCUCUGCAGUGCACACAAUGUCAGUCUACCAAGCCCUGUCAACAUUACCUUCUGAAUGUCCCUUUCCCACAAUUCCCGUGCUGCUUCCUGGUUCAGGCUCUUAGCCUUUCUCACUUUGACUAAUGCCUCCAAAUUGCCUGCAUGCUCUCUCCCAUCAACAACCCUCCAUCCUGCUGCCAAAGUUUUCCAUCUUGUUGCCAAUCUUUCCUCCUUAAAACCCAUCACUGUUUCCCUUCACCCAAAGCAGCUGUCUCCAAAUCUCAGUGAACUCAUACCCUUAACUGGAAAAACAAUGAGGAGCAUGCAAACCCAAUACGGCCAAAUUUAUUUUUUAUAACGUGUUUAUUAUAUUAAUAUUAGGUCUAAUAUAAAUUGCAUCACAAGAAGAACAAUUUUAAAUAUAAACUGAACUGCAAAUACAUAAAAGUUACAGUUUUUCCUAUACUCCCUUGAACUCCCACAGACUCACAUAUACUGUACCUUUGAGCUACAGUGUAUCGCUUAGAAUUCUCUCACCUACCACAGUCACUCUUUUUUUUUUUUUUUUUGGUGGUGCAGCAUCAGCAUUUUAGUUCCCCCACCAGGGAUUGAACCCGUGCCCCUGCAAUGGAAACGGGGAGUCCUAACCACUGAACCGCCAGGGAAUUCCCAUAGUCACUCUUGACUGUAUCUUUGCACAGGUUGUUGCUUCUGCUUGGAAAUUCUUUCACACUCCCACUCCCCCCAGCCGUUCUUUGCCUAAUUCAUACCCAUGGUUCAGGACUCAUUUGCUUGACUAUCUUCAAGGAUACCUUCCUGGAUCCUCUCAGACAGGAUCAGAUACCUUUCUCUGUGUUCCCAUAGCAACCUGAGCAUCCUUUAUGUAGGCUGUGUCCCUUACUAGUCAUUAAGCUCCUUGAGGAUAAGGAUCGGGGAUUUCAUCUUCAUGUUAUCAUUGCCUAGCACAGGACUCAGUACAUAGAGCAACGUUACUAUUCAGCUGAAAAUAGUUUGUCAACGGUAGUUUGGUGGAAAGCAAGCUGGACGACAUGUCGUUUUGGUCAUGGUGGGGGGCUUGUAAUGUUUUAUGCAUCUUUAAGAAUUGUUGCCCAUUUUGCUUUCCCCCCCCAGGAACAUGAUUGUACUUUUUUAUACUAAUUUAUUUUCAUCUAAUUUUAACUGCUCUCCACUAUUAGCCAUUUCAAAAAUUUGGUACAACCUAGAUGUUUAAAAAUAGGUAAAUUGCAAAGAGUACGCAUGAUAUUAGAUUGUAGAAAAAAUACAUAGGCUCUAUGUAAAAGAAUCUUGGAGGAUAUAUUCUAAGGUAUUAAUAAACAUUUUAUUACAAAAAUAGGUUUGUAUUAUUAAAACACUUCCAGCUCUUUACAGAAAAUCGGAAACCACAAAUAAAGAAAUAAAUUAAGAAACAGUCAAAAUGUCACUGUCCUAGAGACAGCUGUUAGGUGGGAGAGGAUGGGGGGAGGGGAGACGUAUAUGAGUCGAUUAGGGACAGAUUAGGAAAAGGGUCGUCUUGAUUGGACUUUUGGAGGGAAGCACAGAAAAUCAAAUUAAUUUGGUGGGAAUACAAAGGAUCGCUUGAAAUAAAUGAGGAAUUCUUUUGAAGUAGCUAAACCUAUCUUCCUACCUCAGAUUAAAGUACAGUUUAUUCAUUUAAUUUUGCUAGCCCCAAAUCUGGACAAAUUAAGUACAUGUUUAUUUCCAGAUUUAUUCUCUUCUCCUGUGUUGCAGCCAAAUUAUGGUCCUCGUGCUUCCCCUAAACUUGUCGCUAAUGUCCUCUUGACUUUGCAAGUUAUGCUAUGCACAAGUUAUGCUAGGCACAAGUUAUUAUUAUAAUGAAAGCCGCCAAUCAUUGUCUAUUGAAGUAUGUCCACCUUUCAGAGCUCACCUGAGCUGCUUCCUCCUCCGUGAAGUCUUCUCUUCCCAGCCCACCCUUACCACGCAACUGCAAGGAAUCGCUUCCCUUUGAAUCUCUGUAGAGCCCUUUUUUGGUUGAUGGCCUCUAUAUUCUGGUUAUGGAAAGGGAACAGAGCAGAGAAUUUGUACUGUGUGACAGUACAUUUUAAACUAAAAAGCAUUGUACAAAUAUAUGUUAUCUCAUUCUUAGAACUAGAUUAUAAACUUCUUUAGGGCAGAGAUUAUAUUUUAUUCAAACUUUUGUCUCAAUUGCCUGACAUAGUUAUUUAAUAAAUAUUUGUUAAAUAGCAUAUAAUAAUUCUUUUCUGCUUUCCCUUGUAUCAAUUCUUUGGGAGCGGCCAUGAGUUUUAAAGAAAGACUUUUCGAGCUUCCCUGGUGGCGCAGUGGUUGAGAGUCUGCCUGCCGAUUCAGGCGACAUGGGUUCGUGCCCCGGUCUGGGAAGAUCCCACAUGCCGCGGAGCGGCUAGGCCCGUGGUGUCCAACAUUGCUUUUUUUUCUUUUUUUUUUUUCGGUACGUGGCCCUCUCACUGUUGUGGCCUCUCCCGUUGCGGAGCACAGGCUCCGGACGCGCAGGCUCGGCGGCCAUGGCUCACGGGCCCAACCGCUCCGCGGCAUGUGGGAUCUUCCCAGACAGGGGCACGAACCCGUGUGCCCUGCAUUGGCAGGCGGACUCCCAACCACUGGGCCACCAGGGAAGCCCCAAGAUUGCUUUUUGGUGGAGGGAAAAAAACCCACACAUAGAAUUGGUGACCAGAAUUAUUAUAUAGAUAAAUAUUUAAUAGCUUGAUGUAACCAAAGAAGCGUUAAAUGAAACCAGUACAAAUAUAUAAACUCUAUUUUAAAAUAUAAAUAUAUAUACAGACAUAGAAAAAAAUGUUAAAAUGAUAUACAUUCUUGAAUGGUGGAAUUAUGAAUGACCCUUAUCCUAGUAUACUUUUUCUUAGUUUUGUAAUAUGCAUAAAAUGAGUAUGUCGAAUUUAUAACUAGAAAAAUUGGAUUUUUAGUUAUAAAUAUAAAGCUGCUUCUUAUUUUUAAAGAGAGCAUAUCAGUCUCCCAGAUAACUUGAGGAUGUGCAAUUUGUGUUGAGCUUACUUUUAAUGAAUCCUGCGUCACUUUACAUUUUUCCUUGUUUCCAAGUAGAAAAACCAAUUGAUUUCUUCUAAAGUUCCACUAGGUGGUGCUACGGUGGAAUUAAUCAUGGCUUUUUUUUUUUUUUUUUCCCCUUUUCUUUUCUUUAAUCCACUAGUUCUCAAACUUUAGAUCCUGCUUUGGAAUUCCAGGCACUAUUCAUUUCCCCCAGUCAAUCUCUUCAUGGUGCCAUUACCAAUUAACAAAAACAGAUCACCUCACUGCACCUCUAGUGCUGAUUUAAUGUGAUAUUAAGGAGGUGACAUCUAUUAAAUAUGAUAGAAAAUCCAUUGAUUUAUGCUGAAUGAUAAUAUAAGCAAUGGUCUGUUGUAAACAUUAAACAGACAUAUAUCCAACCUUGAUAACCAUGAGUCCUUGGAGAUAACUGGAGGUAUCUGUACCAUGUUUUGUGAACCACUAAUUUACAAUACAGUACGUUAAGAAAUUUGGAUUGUUAAUUUUGCAAUUACCAGUCAUUCUCAAGUUUCGGAUCUUGAGCUACAGGAAUCCAAAAUAAUGGCACACUGACGAUUAAAUGCAUGCUAUUGUGUAUGGCAUUUAGAGCAGUCCGUGCAGAGGCCAGAAGUGUUCUGGCCCAGAGGGCCUUUAUUGAUAAGGCUCAGUAAAUUUCUCCUUUUGCUGCACAUUUGUCCCCCAGCGAUCUUUCUGGCUCAUGGCUUCAGACAUCACAAAAUUUCCUCAUUCUAAUAAUAUAUGCUCUUUAGCUUUUUUUCCUGGUAAUUUUGUCAAUAAAUGUCAUGAGUUGUAAUACUGUGCCAUUAGAAAGAUUUAGCAAAAAUAUGUCACAAUUCGUUACUUACAAAUAAAUUUAUGUAGUAAAAAGAAAAACUCCAAUUUUUUUUUUCCUGUGUAGGGAAAAACCCAGUUCUUCCCUACUGUGUGUUCCUCUCCUGUGUGUCUCCUUUCCCACUCUCAUCAAACACUUCACACCUGACACUUUUGGUCACGAAAUGUGGGUCUUUUCCCCAAUAACAAAGAGCAAGUCUUUGGGAUGCCAGCUGGGUGUCCUACGAUUUAACUAAAUUCUGAUCCUAUCGACCUGGAGGUAGGUCAGAUCCCACAGGUUAAGGGCUCAAUCCCAUAAGACUCCCCUCAACACACACUCACAGUCACACACUUCAGAUGGCAGUCACAAGCCCAGGUUAUCACCCGUGCUCCUGACCAAACUGGAUAUAAAUCAGACAUCCGUUCAGCCCCCUCAUCAGCUUCCAUUAAUUUGCUAGAGCAGCUCACAGAACUCAGGGAAACACUUAAUUACAUUUACCAUUUUAUUAGAGGAUAUGAUAAAUGAUACAGACGAAGAGAUAGACAGGGUGAGGUCUGGGAGGGUCCCAAGCCCAGGAGCUUCUAUCUUCAUGGAGUUGGGGUGCAUCACCCUCCCGGUGUGGAUGUGUUCCUCCACCUGGAAGCUCUCCGAAGCCCCUCCCAUUGGGAUUUUAUGGAGGCUUCCUCACAUAGGCGUGGUCAAUUAUUAACUCCAUUUCCAGCCCUCUCCCCUCUCUGGAGGAUGAUGGAUGAGGCUGAAAUUCCGAACUUCUCACCGGGAGCCCACUCGGACUCACCUCCACAGAGCAAAAGGUGUUUCUAGUGCCCUUAUCAGUUAGGAAGUUUCAAACAUUUUAGGAGUUUUGCGCCAGUGAUGGGGUCAAAGACAAAUAUUAGAACAAUAGGUGCUCCUAGUAUUCUUAUCACUUAAGAAAUUACAAGGGUUUGGGGAGCUCUGUGCCAGGAACCCGGGACAGAGACAUACAUAUAUUUUUUUCUAUAAUCUAACACAUAGUGUCUGUAAAAGGUUGAUGUGGUAAAACUAAAUAAUGACCUCCAAACGUCCACAUCCUAAUCCCUGGAAUCUGUGAAUGUUAUUUUAUAUGGCAAAAGGGACUUUGCAGUUGUGAUUAAAUUAAGGAUCUUGAGAUGCAGAGAAUAUCCUGGAUUUUCUGGGUGGGCUUGAUGUAAUUACAAGUCCUUAUAAGAGGGACACAGGAGGAGUCAAUGGCAGGGGAGAAGGCCAUGUGACUAUGGAAGCAGAGAUUGGAGUGAUGUGCUUUGAAGAUGAAGGAAGGGGCCACAAGCCAAAGAAUACAGGCUAGAAGCCGAAAAAUGCAAGGAAGUGAAUUCUCUUUUAAGAACCUCCAAAAUAAUGCAGCUCUGCAAACACCCUGACUUUAGCUCAGUAAAACUGAUUUUGGACUUCUGGCCUCCAGAAAUGUAAGAAAAUAAAUUUGCAUUGUUUUAGGCCAUUAAGUUUGUGGCAGUUUGUUAUAACGGCGAUAGGAAAUUAAAAUACUGAUACUUGUAUAUCUGAUUCUUGCUCAGUUACCUACCCCUAUUAAUAUAGCAUUGUUGCAUCUAUUUUGAAAUCCUAACCUGCCUAUUUUAUUGUAAUAUAAACAUUGUAAUACAUUGCAAAAAUACGUGCUACUUCUCAUGGAUUUAUUAACUAGUUCAAUUUUUCUGGAAGAAGGUUUAGCAACAUGGAUCAAGAUAUUUUUAAAUGUUCAUACCCUUUGACCCAAUAAUGCUAGAUAUCUGAGAAAAUAACCAUAAUUACAUAGAUUUUAUACAAUAGUGGGCAUUGUAAGAAUAUAACCAAUAUUAGAGGAGAUAUUAAUAAAAGAGAAAAAACAAACAAAAUAAAUA